GAUCUCAGUUCGGAUUGCGGGCUGCAACUCGCCUGUAUGAAGUCGGAAUUGCUAGUAAUCGCGGAUCAGCAUGCCGCGGUGAAUACGUUCCCGGGCCUUGUACACACCGCCCGUCACACCAUGAGAGUCGGGAACACCCGAAGUCCGUAGUCUAACCGCAAGGAGGGCGCGGCCGAAGGUGGGCUUGAUAAUUGGGGUGAAGUCGUAACAAGGUAAC
This 217-nucleotide ribosomal RNA is filed under the name uncultured bacterium. RNAcentral describes it as "partial 16S ribosomal RNA". It matches the Rfam family "Bacterial small subunit ribosomal RNA", at positions 1284 to 1500 of the family's 1533-position model. The record is from RNAcentral.